RNAcentral lists this long non-coding RNA (15613 nucleotides) under Vitis vinifera (wine grape). RNAcentral's name for it is "long non-coding RNA (VVIN_LNC004549)". The record is from RNAcentral. Lineage: Eukaryota; Viridiplantae; Streptophyta; Magnoliopsida; Vitales; Vitaceae.
GGCCACCCACUUAAUUUUAUCGUGGAAAUAACACAGAGGAGAAUCCAAUUAUACCAUUUCUCUAAUUAAUUAACCGGCAGCUGAUAUAAAAACAAUGUUUGAUCAAUGCUGAGAAGUAAGCAAACUUCAUUUUUUGAUAAUAUUUUACUCCAUACAUACUUGAACUGAAAAACCUAACAUGAGGUAUUGUCAAAAUAACAUCGAUCUUAAUCUGGCGAUAAUAGAGAUCAAAAGCAUAUUAGGCAGACAUGCGCUAACAGAUGCAUGAAACUCAUGGGCUGCUAGGUAGAGGUGGUGGUGGUGGUGGAGAUAGUAAAUGUGGUGAUGAUUGCAGCAGCCCAACACGAGGUGGUGGCACAGAAAAUGAACCCGCCUUCCCAUGCAAAGGAGGAGGAGGAGGAGGACUCCCAACUUUAUCUGGGUAUACCUUCUUCUGCUCCAACAAUCGAUUUGAAACAGCGGCCACAAAAUCCGUAUCAGAAGCAGCUUCUAAGGGUCGUGCCAUCGCCACAUAGCUCUUACCUGUGUGACUGAUCUGCAACACCACACUAUGGAUUAAUAUAACUAAAAGCAAGAAAAGGGCAUUCAUUGCAGUCACUUUGCUAUGGCAUUAUGCUUGAUCUUAUGUAUAUAUUAUAUAGAUGGAGAGGUCAAUUAGUUGACUCAUUGCUCGAGAAAUAUCAGAUAUGUUAACAAACCCAAAUCGCACGUCUUUGAAUAAAUAGGACAAACUAGAAAUUUAAAGAAUUCUCACGCCACCGAUUUCCAAUAUUUGACGGCUUUCGACGACUUCAGUGUAGGAAUUUGAAAACAUAUUGUUUGAAGUAGACGUCAUUAAUUGGCCAUAUCAAAAUUGUGUGGUCUAAUAAUUCAUCGCAUGGUUCUUUCGAUGAACACGAAAGAGAUGGUGCACAAAAAUUCCAAGUCAAGCAAAGAAUUAAAUCGCAUGGACUUGGAUGAUACUGCUUCGAAGAAGAAAUUAAAGAGAUGAAAUUAUAUUUUCAUACGUUUCAAAUACUCAAGUCCAAAUAGUAGGAAGAAGAAGUUGCUGAAGAGUUUACAAUUUAUUAUUAUUUAUAUUUACUUAUACAAAAAUUUAUUCAUAAAUUUCUUUUGAUUUUAAUACUCUUUAUAUAUAAAAAAAAAAUAGAAAACUUCAAAAACAAUAUGUGGAAAUCAAAUAGUAAAUUUUCAUCUAAUUAAUUUGGUUGACUUAUAACUAAGGUUUGACUUAAUAAAUAUUAUUAUUAUUAUACAACUAAGCUCGGUGCUUAUUUGAUUUUUUCUGUUGCAAAUAAGAACUUUUGUGGAGUAAAAGAAAGAGGUUUGAUAUUUUGAUAGAAGAAAUACAAUCCAGAUAUAACAAGACCCUUGCUAUUUUCCCUAGAAAUUUUGGCUAUUGACCAGGAAGUAUAGAAUCAUAAUCCUAAUAGUUGAACUCUGAAUAUGGAACUGGAACCAGCUACUGAAUUACCAUAAUAUAUGAUAAAAGGACUUAAAGCUUAAUUUGCCAAGUCAAUAUAUAUAAAAACUCUUAUAUUGUUCUUACUCAAAUUAACUUUAAAUCAUUUACUUUUAAAAUUAGCUAUUAUUAACUCUAGUUAGUCAUAAUUCCCAUUUUAUUUUUUAUUUUUUUCUUUUUGAACUUCUUCAUAAGAAGAAACAUGAGACAUAAAUUUAGCAAUAUUCUUCUUGGAUUAUAUUCUUCCUGAAUUUGGAGAUACUUGAUUUAUUAGUUUGAAUUUGAUAACAACCAUGGUUAUAACUGGUUUUAAUUUCAGUAAGAAAUCUAAAAGAAAUCUACUGGUGGUGGUGAUGCAACAGGUUUAGGUGGUGCCGGGCGGGGAAUAUUCCAACCAAUGUAGCGGGAGGUCUGUGGAAGAGGCCUUCCUAUGAGAUUUCCAAGUCGAUCUGGGUAAGCCUUUAUUUUCUCAGAUGAUCAAUUUGAAGCAACUGAAACAAAGCCCACAUCGGAGAAGGCUCGGAUGGGUCGGGCCAUUGCAACAAAGCUCUUCCCUACUUGACUAGGUUGCAAUACCAUGGAAUAUUAGCAAAAGUAGAAGCAAGAAAGCAGAAGAAGAAUCCAUUUCUAUUGCAAUAUACUCGAUUAUAAAUUAUUACGUAGAGAUAGAGAUGUUUCACAUCGUAUAUGCUAUCUCUAUUUAAUCCAGGACCCAAGACUUCUAAAUGAAUAAGCGCCUUUCAUUCUUUUGGAAUUUGUCAAAACAAAUGGGACAAACUAAAAAAGGAUUCCAGACCACCAACCUUCUGGACCCGAUUUUUUAUUGACUUUUGCUCACAUAUACAGAUGAUGUCAUUUUCUAGCAUGAAGAAAUUAACCGAACUCCAUUAAUUCUGAUAUAUAAAGUACAUUGCACAUGUAUAUCUCUUCCUGGAAGCAGCAUGACCAGGAUGCAUGGGUGAUACUUAAAAGUCUUAAAUAAAAUUUCCAAGUCACUGAAUUGAAAAUAGAUGUAGCUUAUGACAGCUGUGAAGAAGAAUUAGGGCAUACACUCAAAAGUCAAAUAAACCAGUAAAAAAAGGAAGAUGAAGCUUCCUAUCAAGAGUAAGGUUAUGUUUGGUCCAAGCAAGGAAAAAAACAAUUGUUCAAUAAAAUUAUUUUUUCAAUUUGGUUAUAUGAAAAUUUUCAAAAAAAAAACCAAAUAUAAUUCAAAUUAAUUAAAAACUUAUACAUUUUUAAAUUACUUAAUCUUUAUAUUGAUGAGUUAAAAUAAAUAUAAUAAGUUUGAGUUAGUAAAUAAAAGUAAUUUAUCGACUUCAAUUUUAUUUUUUAUUUUUAUUCAUAUUUUUGCUAUCUAUAUUUUUUUUCUUGCAUUUUCUCUCAAAUUUUUCGGGAAGCAAACAUAGCCUAAGAAUUUAUUCAUGAAAUUUUUUUUAAAUACUUAAUUCGUUUUUACAUCAUUUCAGAGGGUUAACAUAUAAAAGCAAACUAUAUUUUAUAAAAUUCAGUAGUUGAGGUUCAACAUGUAAUAUGGUUUUAUAAUGCUCUUUUUUUCAAUGUAUAUUUUAUGAUAUUAGAGUAGUGGCAUUGGUAACUAAUUAUUAAAAGAUACUUCGCAAGAAAUGAGCCAAAUACUCAACACAAAGUAGUCAACAAUAUUAAUUACUUCAGCAACCUUGAUGUAAGGGAAUCCAGCACAUUACAAGGAUUAUUGAAUUUUUCAAUUUUCAAAAUAUAUUUUUUGGAGAAGAAACAAAUAAUGAUAUUUAAUUAUAAGAUCAAUGAUUAUUUGUAACGAAUUUGUUAUUUAGUAGUAGGAUGGAUUUACUGCUGGUUGUGGGUGAGUAUUGAGAUAUUUAAUUCAACAUUCUAUAUAUAUAUGUCACAGUUGCUACAAAUUUUCUAUAAUAGUAAUAAAGCAGAAAUUUUAUUAUUUUUUUAACUUUUUAUUGAAAGUAAUUCUCUCAAAUUUCAAAUUAUUUCUUUUUUCUUUUUUUUUUUAAUUUAUUACUUAUUUCUUAAAUUUUUUUUAUUGAACAGAAAAUAUCAAAAUAUUUGGCUUUUUUUAAUGCUAUAAAUAACACUUGUGCUUUGUUUAUGUUUUUUUUACAAUUUAAUACUUAAUAAAAAUAAAAUAUUAAAAAAAUAAACAAUUUAAUAUUUAAUACUAUUAAACAUUAUUUAGCUUAAAUUCUAUUUAGAAUUAAGUAAAGAAAAACAAACACGGUCUAAGUCUUUUUAUAUUGACAUUUUAGUUAAACUCAAGUGCAAAAAGUGGCUUAUAGCAUAAUGAGUACUUCUUUGAUUGUGUUAAUCACCAAAAAUGUCAAGGUGGAUUUACUCCUUAUAGAUUGCAUAGAACACUUAAUUUUUCCUUUUAUAAAAAGAAGCAAGUAUAAUCUUAAGAAAUUGCAUCAAUGCAAAAAAACAGAUUGGAACUCUAAAAGACUUGUUGCUUUUAUCUCCUUGAUUGCAAGUUCAUUUACAUAUCUUUAGCCUGUGGACACCUUUAGAGCUAAGGAAAUCCUUGGAUUUAUGUCUUGUUACCGUGUGACCAUGAUAUUUUAUUAAUCGUUGUACACGGUGGAUCACAAUGCGUUAAUUGAGCCAUAUUUUGUAAGUAUGGUUUUUUACUUAAGUUAUAAUCACUUUUAGAUUACACUUGAUUCCUUAAUAAAAAGUAAAAUUUAUCUCCUGUUGGCAUUAUUUUGUGAUAUCCAUUAAAGAACUUAUGAGAAAAUAUAUUAUUUAGCAUUUCAUGUUUAAUACAUAAAUCUUUUAUGCUUAGAGAAGACAAUGGGACAGUGUUUUUUUUUUUUUUUUUUUUUUUUUUUUUUUUUUGUGCCCACCCUACCCCAACCCUAAUGGUAUAAGUUUAAAAUUUAAAUAAAUGGGUUUUGGACGGGUUUGAGAUUUUUUUAAAAACUCAAGACGGAUUCGAGACAGGUUUGAGUAUUGUCUUGUUCUACCCCAUUCCACCCGAUUAUAUAUAAAAUUUAAUUUUUAAAGUAAUUUAAUUUAAUUUUUAUUUUCCUACUUUUAAUAUAUAUAUAUAUAUAAUAACAAAAUACUUUUAUAAUAGGUUUUAAUAUUUUAAUUAUUUAUAAAAUAUAUUUAUUUUAAUGUAAUUAAAAAAAUAUUUAAAUUUAAAAAAAAAAAAGUUAAAGAGGACAAGGCAUGUCGGGUAUGGGAAUUUCUCAUACCCACCCCACUCUAUUUAAUUUUUUUUAAUGGGACGGGGAUGGGAAAUAUUUUAACCCAUUCCAAAUCCGUCUCGUUGUCAUCUCUAUUUAUGCUCAUUUGAAUUUAAAGUAAAAUGGAAAAAAAAUAAAAAGAAAAUAUAAGUAAAUAAAAAUUCAAGAGAAAAAAAAAUACAUCUAAACUUCUUGAAUCCUUUUUAUGUUUUUUUUUAAUAAUUUUAUUAUGUUUAUUUUCCCUUCUUAAUUUUCGAGUUAAGCCAAAUCGAAUAAUUUGAAUUUUUACACAAUUCCUUUUUAUAAUUUUUGCUAUGAUCCAAUCGGAGGAGUCUUAGAGAUCCAAAUUUCUCAUGAUUCAAUAACAACAAUGGGUCUCCCAUCUUCAACAACACUAGAAAGGCAACCAACCUUGAUCCUUUGUAGUAGUGGUCACCAUCCUAGAUUUGCUCAUUGACAAUAGCCGGUUCUCGAACGUAGGGACCACAAAUCAUGUGACCAAUGAUUUGAGCAAUCUGAAUCUUAGGUCUGAGUAUCAAGACACAAACAACGUUUACAUGGGUAAUGGUGUAGGUUUGGCAAAAUGGUAGGAAGAUGAAGCUGCAAAGAGUUUAUGUUUAAUUAUAAUUAUUUAUAUUUGAUUAUACAAGAAUAUAUUCAUCAAACAAAUUUUCUUUUGAUUUUUAUACACUUUAUAUAUAAUUUUAAAGGAUUUAUGCUGAUAAAAUAUGAGAUUAAUUCAAUGGUUCAACUGAUCCAAACAAAGCAAAUUUUGGUGCAAUUAGUGCAAUUGAAAAUUUCUUAAGCAAUAAAUGGAAAUCAAAUUAAUAGUAAAUUUCAUCAUCUAAUUGAUUUGGUUGACCUGCAACUAAGGUUUGAUUUAAUGAAUAUAUAUUAUUAUUGUACAAAUAAGCUCUGUGCUUAUUUGAUUUUUCUGAUGCAAAAAGAACUUUUGUAGAGAAAAAGAAAAUUGAGUGAUAGUUUGAUAGAAGAACAGUCCAUAUGUUAUAGGACACUUGCUAUUUACCCUUGAAAUUUAUAUAUAUAUGCAUUCCCCCAUUGAAUGUUCGUUUCUUUGAUGAUCAUCUAAGUAGUUGAUAUCAGUCAAAUAUUUUAUAAAAACACUUGUAUUGUUCUUGCUCAAAUUAACUUUAAAUUAUUUACUUUAAAAUGAAUUAUUAUUAGUGUUAAGUAGCCAUAAUUCUUUUUUUUUCUUUUUCUUUUUUCUUUUUUAUCUUCUUCAUAAAAAUUAAGAAACAUGGCUCAUAAACUCUCAAAACUCAAUUUUGUUAAUUUUUAAUAUUCUUCUUGGAUUAUCUUUUUCUAAGAUUUAGAGAUAUUUGAUUUAUUAUUUGUAUUUGAUGAUGCCAAGGGUUUUUAUCUUUUUUAAUAAUUUGAUUUUAAUUUCAAUAGGAAUCCUUUAUCUAGAAAUGUAGGUUUUUUAAAAUGUGUUUGAGAGUGUUUUUAUUUAAAAUGUUUUUAGUUGAAAUGAUUUUAUAGAAGUGUUUUUUACAGAAUCACCUAUCAAGUGCUUCUUCAAAAAGCACUAUAAGUAAUUUUUUUAACUUUUUAAUCACAAUAGGCUAGAGUUCUUCUCUCGUUGUGGUUGUUGCAUUGCCUCUAAUGUAUUCCUCCUUAUACAUAUUGGGUCUCUUAAGAUGAAAAGCAAUAAAGAUACAACCUAUUCGCAAACUCCCUAUACAGACUUCCCUCCAUGGUGGAAUAUCAUGAGGCUUGACCAAGGAGUUUAUGUGAUUCCCUUUUGUCAUGCAUGGGUGACACUUCACUAUUUGCAUAAAAAAUCAUUAGGUCAUCUCUACAUAUGUUGAAUCUUUUGUGGUAUUUCAUGUUGAUAGAUCAAUGUUCUUCAAUGGUGCUAAGAAUUGCUAGGUUUGACAAUAUAUUAAUGGGUACAUUGUUUUCCCUCAUUAUUUGCUCAAUUUGGAAGUUAUCAAACCACUAGCUUCCAAUUUGGCUUAGGUUAGGUAUGCUUCCAUCCAUUCAUCUUUGGUUUCAUAUUGGGUUAAAACUUGGCAAACCAUGAAUUUAUAAUCAGGAUAGACUUGAAACACUUACGAGCUCUAAGUAGGUGCAUGGUUUCUAACUUAUAAAGAAGGGCCUUAUAUUUAGCUUCAUUAUUGGAUGCUUUGAAACCUCAUGCAAUACUUUUUUCAAUGAUUCCAUAAAUGAAUCCAAUGUUUGCACCCUUCUAACUAGAGGUUUUAUCCGCAUAUAGGAUUAUAUGGAGGUUGUAUACAAUAGAUAGCAAGUCAUAGGCCCAAGUACUUAGUGUCUCAUUUUUAUUUACAUGGGGAUGAAUAGGAGUGUAGUUGACUCAAUGUAGUGGGAUAUUGAGUCAACUUCAAAAUUGGAUUCUAAAGGGGUCAAGACUGUCCUAUGGGUUCUAAUGGUCCUCAUUUGAGCUCAUAUAUCUUGUUGGGACUGUUUAUGAAGGUUGGAUUGACUCUUGGUUCAUUUAUGUACAUAAGGAUGUUUUGGUAAUUUCGCAAGGUUGCAUAAGAGUUAGUGAACGACAUUUUUAGAUUGGCCUAAUUGAUUAAUUAGACAACCUUAUUGGGUUAAUUAAUCAAUUAUAAUCCUUUUUGAGCUAGAUCAAGUGACCUAAGCCUAUGGUGGGCUCAAGUCACUUAAGCCUAGUAAGAAUUUUAUAAAUAGCCCCUUAAGGGUUAAGGUUUCAAGUUUUUUCUUCUGUUCAUUCUUUGAAUUUCAAAUAAGGAUUCCUAGUCUCUACCCUCCAAACUUUCACCAUUUGAAUGCCAAGCUUCAAGGUUGAGUCAUCCGGUGGAAGGACGUGGGUCUACGAGACUUCCAACGACUUCGUUUUGUUCUUCACCAAAAGAAAACAGUUUGGGAAUUCCAUAUCAAUUGUAAGCACACUAAACUUUUUUUCAAAAUCCUAGAAAAAAAUUUUGAUGCAUGUAUUCCAAUAUGCAUAGGAUUUAGAAAAGCCUAGGGAGUUUUACAUGUAUCUAACCUAAUCCUAAGACAAGAAACGGAACAAUCCAAAAUUCUCUUUAAGAUGUUGGAAUGCAAUUAACUCUCUACGGUAGAAUGUUAAAUCAACUUCAAAAUUAGAUUUUGAAUGAGCUUCUAUAUCUUUUAUGGUUCCCAAUAGUUCCUACUAGAGCUCACACUCCUUGAUGGCAUAUUGAGGGAUAUUUGGGUUUCAAUUCAUAUGUGUGCAUCAGAGUAUUUCAAUAAAAAUGUAAGGUUGCACAAGGGCUUAUAAAUUGUCUUUCUACAAUAGGUUAAUUAAUUAAUUGUAGCCUAAUAGGACUAAUUAAUUAAUUACAACCCAGUGAGUUAAAAUAAGCAAUGCAAGCCCGAGAUAGGCUCAAAUCACUGAAACUUACAAGGAGUCUAUAUAAACACUCUUAAGAUUUAGAGUUAGAUAGUCUAGCUUAUUACUGUCUUCUAAAGAGAACCCUAGCCCUUAUCCCUCUAGAGAAAAGUUCUCCCUUCUCCAUUGCUAAGAUCCAAGGAAGAACCAUCAAUUGAAAGAUCUUUAUGUCUUUGAGAUAGUUCUUCAUUGAUUGGAAUAGACGUGGAAACAUCCAAAUCUUAGCUAUGUGAUCUUUAUUGUUUUUUAUAACCUUUAAUAAAGUUUUAAGGGCCUAUCUAUUAAUUUAUACUGCACUUAGGAUCUUAGUUGCAUGCACCCUUAAGAGAUCCAAGGCUUGGAUUAGAUUUAUCCAAGAAUCCAACCAGUAGGCUUUUCCUAUUGUUUUGCAGCUUUUUGCCACAUACUUCCAAAGGUGGUUGGAGGUAUCUAUUUAGCGACAAUUGUUAGAUAAUGACUACUUUAGAGGUCAUCAUCGUAUGUCAAGGCCCUCAUUUUUGGGUUGGGUGAUUUUUUGGACCUUCAAUCCUUGUACCAUCAUUUUGUAUCAUCAACUAGAGCUGGCUAGUUCUCUUUUUCUAGCCUCUGAAUCAAGCUCUUUCACUCCUAAAAUCCUCCAUUCCUUCUUUUUGACCAAUUCCUAAUAUAAUCAGACUAAAUCUCAUGUUCAUGGUAUUGCUCACCCUAUGAUUACUCAAUCCAAGAAAUUGUUAUUUAAGCCUAAGGUCUACUUGACUAUUAAUUUUACCAUUGUGGAGCCUAGCACUAUGCAAGAAGCUUUACAAAUUCAUCAUUAGAUGGAACCUAUGGAAUAAGGGUAUACUGCCUUAAUUAAAAAUAAGAUCUAAUCUCCAAUUCAAAAGUUAAUUGAUAGAAGAAUAGUUUGUUGCAAAUGGGUAUUCAAAAUCAAAAGGAAUCCUAAUGAGACUAUACAACAGUACAAGUCACAAUUGAUGGCUAAAAGAUAUUAGUAAUCUCCUGGUUUUAAUUUCAUUGAGACCUUCGGUCCAAUGGUUAAACUGACAACAAUUCAUGUGGUGCUAAUAACUUUAGAUAGAAAUUGGGAGAUCAAACAAUUGGAUAUAAAUAAUGCACUCUUGAAUGGGAUCCCCCAAGAACUGUAUUUUUGGAUCAAUCUCUUAGGUUUGAACAACAUGAUCAAUACGAACUUCUAGUACACAAGCUACAUAGUACUAUAUGGCUUGAAACAAGUCUCACAAGUUUGGUUUGACAAUCUUAGAUCAUCACUGUAGAACUAAAUCUUAUCUCCUCGAGUUUUCUUUUCAUUCUAUUAUUGUCCUCUUGAAUAAAAACUGCUCUCUUAAGGAUCUUGGAUCCCUUAACUACUUAGAAAUUAAGGUAAAGAAAACAGAAAUUGGAAGUUUACUUCUUUCUCGAGAAAAAAAUAUAACAGAACUCCUACAUAAAGCUCAUAUGGACAUAGAGCAUUUUCCACUUCAAUGAUGCGAACUCUACAGAUUGCUUAUGAUGAUGACUCUAUGAAGAAUCCAACACUACUUAUAGAAGCCAAGAGGAUGCAUGUAGUAUGUAACUAUUACCAAACGCGAGAUUGCCUAAUGUAAACAAGGUAUCUUAAUAUAUGCAACACCCUUCAUAUUGUCAUUGGAAGUCUGUAAAGAGCAUCCUAGGUAUCUGAAAGCGACUAUUGAUUUUGGAAUUCAUUGGCAUCAGAUCCACAUAAUAGAAAAUCUAAUCUGGAUUUUGUAUCUUUCUUAGCAACAAUCCUAUCACCUGGAGCUCAAAGAAGGAAACUACAAUCUCAAGAUCAAGCACUAAGGCUGGAUAUAGAUGUCUAGCUAAUUCUACAGAAAAAAUAGUUUGGCUUCAAUCCUUUAUCAAAGAACUUAGCAUUCUACAAACCAAAGUUCCAAUUCUUUAGUGUGACAAUCUAAUUGUUGUUUCUUUAAGUGCUAAUUUUGUCUAACAUUUAGAACCCAAUGUAUGGAACUUGACUUAUAUUUUGUUCAAGAAAUUAAGAUCCUUGAGAAUUUCUUUUAUCAUAUUGUUGAUAUCUUCACCAAACCACGGUCUACUGCCUAUGUGGUGUCACCCACCAACCACACUCAACUUGAGGGGGCUAUUGGAGAUGAUGCAAGAAGAUAGAAAAGAUGAAACUGAAACUCUGCCCUCUUUGUUAGAGAAGCAAGAGAGAGAAAUUGAAUAUAUAUAUAUAUAUAUGUAUUGUUCAAACAACUCUAUUACAACAGAUGGAGACAGACUGUAAUACCAGCUAGUACAACUAAAAUACAGUUGGUAAAAUAACAAACGAAUAACAAUAAAGCUAACAAAUAACAAGUGGGCUUCAUCUCGUGAGAUCAAUAACUAACUCCUCUUUUCUUGGCUUAUCAUCCCCCCUCAAGUGAAAGGGUCUUAGAGCUAUACAAAGCUGAGAUUUGAGGGACAAGAACCUUGAACUUGUGAGAUGCUUAGUCAAUAAAUCUGUUGGCUGCUCUUUAGUGGGAACAAAGUGCAGUUGUAUCUUUCCUCUCAUGACUUGAUCUCAUAUAAAAUGAAGGUCUAUUUCUAUGUGUUUAGUUCUAGCAUGAAACACAAGGUUCUUUGCCAUAUGGUAAGCACUGAUAUUAUCAUACCAAAGUAGAGAUAUUGCAGAUAUUGGCACACAUAGCUAUUGCAGUAAGACUUGUAUCCAAACAAUCUCAAUCGUAGCGAAAACAAGGCCACGAUACUCAGACUCUACACUAUUGCAAGACACUACUUUUUGUUUGGUAGAGGACCAAGAGACUAAGUUACCUCCUAGAUAAACGAGAUAUCCACUUGAGUUGCCCCUAUCAUCAAGGUGAACACCCCAAUCUGCAUCUGUGAAUCCCUAUAUUGUCAAGUUACUUGAAGGACUUAACAGGAGCCCAUCUUGCAUUGUUCCUCUUAGAUACUGAAGUAUUCGUUUGACUGAGAGCCAGUGAGUUGUGGUUGGGUGUUACAUAAAUUGUCAUGCCUUAUUGACAACAAAGGCUAUAUCAGGUCUUGUCAAGGUAACAUACUGAAGUGCCUCUACUACACUUCGAUAAUGAGUAACAUCUGCCAUAGGAUCUCCAUCAAAUUUAGACAAGUUCUUCCCAACAGCACCAGGUGUUUUUACCGGUUUGGUAUCAAACAUUUCAGUUCUAUGAAGCAGAUCUGAAAUGUAUUUGGUUUGGCUCAAAUGCAUAGAGCCUUCAUUGUAAGAAACCUCUAUACCGAAAAAGAAUGAGAGUUAACCCAAGUCGCGUAAGGCAAAAACUAAAUCAAGUUUAGCUAUGAGAGAAUAAAUCUAUGUGGAGGAGCUACCUGUUUUGAUUAUAUCAUCAACAUAGACAAGAACUAUCAAAGUAGUGGCCUGACCAAAGUGUAGAAACAUAGAACUAUCAGUCCGAGACAUGUUGAAUCCCCACUGAAGAAGAGCAUAGCUGAGUCUUUGAAACCAAGCUCGUGGGACUUGUUUCAAGCCAUAUAAAGCCUUCUUCAAUCUACACACUCUAUUUGGGAAUUGAGUGUCGAAGUAUCCAGGAGGUUGAGACAUAUAGACUUGUUCUUCUAACUCACCAUUGAGGAAGGCAUUGUGAACAUCAAGCUGCCGAAUUUCCCACUUAAAACUGAGAGCAACAGUAAGUAUGAUGCGAAUAGUGGCAACCUUAACUACUGGACUAAAGGUCUCAAAAUAGUCCAGACUAUGAGUCUGAUUAUAUCCUUUUGCCACAAGCCUAGCUUUAUACCUCUCUCUACUCCCAUCUGGCUUAUGUUUCAGUUUAUACACCCACUUAUAGCCAAUCACAUUGACAUCGGGUGGUUGUUCAACAAGAUCCCAAGUAUGGUUUCGAUGAAGAAUAGCAAUCUCCAUUUCCAUAGCUUUAGUCCAGUUUGGAUCUUUGAAGGCCUGUUUAAGAGUAGAUGGUUCUGAAACCUUUAUGGUAGAGAGAUCAAGAAUGGUCUUUUUCUUGGUUAUACCACGCAUGGACCUUGUUGUCAUUCGUGGAGCAGGAGCAGUGACUUGAGGUUCUGGAACAGAUUCAGCUGGCAAAUCUGUAGUAGGAGAUUAACUAGAUGUGUCCAGAGGUGAAGAAGAGUCUAUAGGAAUAGGACUUUCACUUAUGGAUAGAGAAUGAGAAUCUAUGGAAGCAUGAUUGAUAUUUGAAUCUGGGAGAAGACAUGGAGUAGGAAAAUAAGUAGGAACUAUAAUGGCAGGGGUAGAGCCUUCUGUUGAAGUAUCAUUAGACAAAAUGGAAGACUUGGACUGAGCAAGUGGGAAAGUUGAUUCAUCAAAGACCAUGCGGGGAGUAAUAUAGACUCUUCCAGUUGCAUAAUCAAGACAUAAAAACCCCUUGUGAUUCAAACUAUAGCCAUGAAAAAGACAUUGGACAGAUCUGUACUGCAAUUUAUGAGUGUUGUAUGGCCGAAUGAAAGGAUCACAGAGGCAGCCAAACACACGAAGAGAUUUAUAAUCAGGAUGCCUUCUAAAAAGAGUGAAAGAAGGAGAAUCAUACUUGAGAACUUUGCUUGACAUUUGAUUGAUAAGAAAAGUUGUUGUCUGAAAAGCGUAGUGCCAGUACUUCAUUGGCAAGGAAGCAUGAGAUAACAAAGCUAACCCAGUCUCAACUACGUGUCUGUGCUUCCGCUCAACUCUACCAUUUUGAGCUGAGUUGUAUGGACAGGAGAAUCGAUGGGCAAUACCAACUGCUUGAAGAAAAGACAUAAAAGAUCGAAAUUCUCCACCAUUAUCAGACUGUAAGUACUUAAUUUUCAUGUCAAAUUGAUUCUCCAUUUGAAGCUUGAAUCGCUUAAAGAUGGGAAGGGCCUGAUCCUUUGUUUGUAAUGAAUAAAACCAAGUGUACCUGGAAUAAUCAUCUACAAAAAGAAUGAAAUAUUUCGCUCCAGAUGUAGAUUUAACUAAGGCAGGUCCCCAAAUACCCGUAUAAACAAGUUCUAAAGGUUUAGAUGCACGAAAAUUUGAGAGUUGAGUGGGUAGUCUAUGACUUUUAGCUAACUGACAAUCAAAACAAAUAGUAGAUUUAUAUUUCCCAGAAGCAACAUUACAAGUAUUCAUGACUUUUGAAACAAUGUCAGGAGCAACAUGGCAUAGUCUAUUAUGCCAUAACUCUACUUUAUUUUCAACAGUACUAGAAAAAUGGGAAUGAAAAGCAGAAGCAUUAUUAAUACUACUGCAAGGUUUCUUGUUGCUGAACACAGGAAACUUGUAAAGCCCAUUUUCAAGCUUACCUUGAGCAAGAACCAUCUUCGUAUGUCAAUCCUUCACAAAGAAAGCAUUAGAAUGAAACUCAAUCAAGGCAUUAUUAUCUGAGUAGAACUUAGCCACACUAAUCAAAUUAGUUGAGAUAAAGAGGACAUGAAACACAUUCUUGAGUUGAAAAGAAUGUGUAUGAGAAUGAAGUUGUUUAGAGCCAAUAUUGGAGAUGGAGAGAUGCUUACCAUUACCAAUAGUGACUCUAUCUGUUCAUGUGUAUGGUGAAGUACUGGUUAGAUUUCCCAAAUUCUGAGUCAGAUGGUGACUUGCUCCAGAAUCCAAAUACCAACUCUCAUCUGUAGGACUAUUAAAAGAAGAAGCAACCAUAGCAGGUAUAUUGUUUUGAUUCCCAUUAUUCAAAGAAUGAGAAGUAGUCGUCUGACCACCUUGAAAAGAGAUAUCAAACCUAUGAUAACAUAUCUGAGCAGUGUGGCCAAACUUACCACAUAACUGACAUUGAGGUUUCUCACUUGGACUGGAAUUUUUCCUUCCACCUUGUCCAUUUCUACCUCCACGUCCACAACCUCUGUAGGUGUAAUUAUUGUUAUUUGGAGCAUAGCCUUGUCCACGACCUCCAUUAAACUUCCUUCCACCACCUAUGUUAUUAGAGGAAGAGGCAUAAUUGGCAGACAUUUGUUCAAUAGAGCUUUGUUGCUCAAGAUGAUGCUCAAAGGCUAAUAGCGUACUAUGUAUAGCUUCAAAAGAGAUCUUAUCAUCUCUAAUGUUGAUAGCAGUAACAACGACAUUGUAGUCGGAUCCAAGACCUCUAAGAAGAUUCAUAACCUGAUCUUGUUUUGAGACAGGUUCUCCAAUAGCAACUAGAUUAUCAGCAGCUCCUUUGAUCUUCAUUAUGUAGUCUAUCAUUUACAUUGAUCCUUUCUUUGUGGAUUGUAAUUCGAGUCUGAGUUGCAUUAUCCUAGCUCCUGAAGAAGGUGAAAAAAAUACUUUCCAAGGCAUUCCUAGCAGAGUGAGAAGUAUUAUGGCCUAUGAUCUGUGCCAUGAUACUUGGUGUGAGCAACGAGUACAUCCAGCUGAGGAUUGUUCAAUCUUGUCUCCUCCAAGCAACAAAAGCUGGAUUGAUCACUCCUGGACUCGGAUCUUUCUCCGGACAGAUAGAGGUUCCAUCAAUGAAAUCCUCAAAGCCAUUAGCAAAAACAACAUUAUCAAUAUGAGAUCUCCACAGGAUGUAAUUCGUCCGAUCAAGUUUCACAGGCAGAGUGUGAUUAAGCAUCUGAUAAGAAGGAAUGGAUGCCAUUGUUGAGCUUUUUCCAGAUCCAAUCGAACCAGAGGAAGAAGAAGAUUGUGUUGAAGUAGAGGCCAUGUUUGGAUCGAGAGAAACAGAGAGAAAGUGAGAAAGAGAAGAAAAAUUCACACCUUGAACGUGAGCUCUGAUACCAAGACAGAAAAGAUGAACUAAAACUCUGCUCUCUUUGUUAGAGAAGCAAGAGAGAGAAAUUGAAUAUAUAUAUUGUUCAAAGAACUCUAUUACAAUAGAUGGAGACAGACUGUAAUACCAGCUGGUACAACUAAAUUAAUACAGUUGGUAAAAUAACAUACCAAUAACAAUAAAGCUAACAAAUAACAAGUGGGCUUCAUCUCAUGAGAUCAGUAACUAACUCCGCUUUUCUUGGCUUAUCACAAGAUUUGCUCCAUAACCGAAGAAAAAUUAGUCGUUGUCUAUUCUAGAAUAUUCAAUGCAGCAGAAUUGUAUAGGGAUUGCAACAUCAUAAAAACAAUGUUUGAUCAAUGCUGAGAAGUAAGCAAACUUCAUUUUUUGAUAAUAUUUUACUCCAUACAUACUUGAACUGAAAACCUAACAUGAGGUAUUGUCAAAAUAACAUCGAUCUUAAUCUGGCGAUAAUAAAGAUUAAAAGCAUAUGAGGCAGACAUGCGCUAACAGAUGCAUGAAACUCAUGGGCUGCUAGGUAGAGGUGGUGGUGGUGGUGGUGGAGAUAGUGAAUGUGGUGAUGAUUGCAGUAGCCCAACAUGAGGUGGUGAGGGAGGAGGCACAUAAAAUUGAUGCGGCUUCCCAGGCUGAGGAGGAGGCUUCCACAUGGGACUCCCAACUCGAUCUGGGUAUACCUUCAUUUGCUUCAACAAUCGAUUUGAAGCAGCGGGCACAAAAUCCAUAUCAGAAGCAGCUUCUAAGGGUCGUGCCAUCGCCACGUAGCUCUUACCUGUGUGACUGAUCUGCAACACCACACUAUGAAUUAAUAUAACUAAAAGCAAGAAAAGAGCAUUCAUUGCAGUCACUUUGCUAUGGCAUUAUGCUUGAUCUUAUGUAUAUAUUAUAUAGAUGGAGAGGUCAAUUAGUUGACUCAUUGCUCGAGAAAUAUCAG